AUGACCACAUCACAUUGAAUCACCAGUUCCCUUAUGAUCACCAAAGUUAAGCAAUGCUAAGCCUGGUUAGUAAUUACACGGGUGACUGCUUAGGAAUACCAGGUGC
Acanthosepion pharaonis is the source of this 106-nucleotide non-coding RNA. Lineage: Eukaryota; Metazoa; Mollusca; Cephalopoda; Sepiida; Sepiidae. The record is from the annotation of a GenBank genome assembly.